UGAAGUAGUGGGUUCAUAGCUCACUGAAGCCUUGAAUUCCCAGGCUCAAGCUAUCCUCCUGCCUCAGUCUCCCGAGUAGCUGGGAUUACAGGCAUGCACCACCAUGCUUGGCUAAUUAAAAAACUUUUUUUUGGUAAAAACAGGGUCUUCCUAUGUUGCCCAAGCUGGUCUCAAACUCUUGGGAUAAGUGAUCCUCCCACUGCAGCCUCCCGAAGUGCUAGGAUUAUAGGCGUGAGCCACCAUGCCUGACCAUUGGUCUAAAUUUUUAUUCCAGCUUCUACAGUCUCACGGUUACCUUCCUCAAGUAGACCCUCCUAACUGCCAGCCACCUACUACCAUUGUGUCCUCAUGUCAGGGUGGAGCUAGGUGGAGAGACAGUUUCCCAUUCUCUUUGCUCUGCUAUCCCUGCUCCUCACAUGAAAAAUCAAAAUCCCCACCCUAGUUCUAGCCUUGCUCGCUUUUCCACCUGGAAGAGUCCACACUCUUAGGUUCUGAUUUGGGUUCUAAUUUCACACCAGAUCAUCCAAACACAUCUAUGCCUCAGCUGCAAAUUGAAGAUCCUAAAAUGUCAAAAGGGAGAAACAGAUCUGUGGAGAGGUUGGCCAAAGGGAGGAGCUGGGGGCAGGGGCUUUGUAGCAGAGGCUAGUUGUAUUAAUUUUUGUCUGCUGCCUUUGGCACAAGGUGAGGGGGUCAGAAUGCAUGGUGACCUCCUCAGGGGAAACCCCCAGGCCUGCAGAUGGCCGGUGAAUUGGCUCUGCACAGCUCCCUCCCUCACGGUUUCCUGCCAAGUCCUCCUGUUUCUUCACUCUUGGUGGUUCUCCCACUCAGCCCAUCCUUUCCAUCUUGUUUGAGCCUGCUGUCCUGCCAGCUCACCCCUGGGCUCAUUUCGCAGUCUUCUGGACUGUAAUCUCUCUUCCCCCCCUGCAUUCUGCUGCCAGAUCUGCCUGAAAUGCUGCUUUUGCAUGAAAAUACCAGCCUGGCAAGAUGGUCUAAUGCGUUGCUGCUGACUUUCCUCUAAGGAACCUUCCUGGCACGCCUGUGCAGGCUCCUCCAGCGUCCUCUCCCUCUUGCCUGCUGAAAGCAGCUGGAUCUAUUCCUCAGAUCUGGAAGGUGAGGUUGGAAAUGGCAAGGGUGACCUGACUGCCUGUGUCCCCAGUCCCCAGUCCCAGGCCUUGCCACUGUCCUGCCUCCUUGUCUUCGAUAAAUAAAGUUCUGGAGACUGGGAAGUUCAUGAUCAAGGUGCCAGCUGAUGAAGCUUCUGAUGAAGAAAAAAAAAUUAUUGGUGGCAAGCACAGAACCCAUGCCAAAGAGAACUGUGGAACGGCUUUGUUGCUGCCUCCCAGAGGCUAAACUCCGCUGUCUGUGCCAGCAUCUCUAGUUACCUGCUUUCUCUUCUUGCUCACAGGUCUGUGUAUGCACUCAGACUAACCUGUGAACUGGCACCUUGUGCCUGCAUCUCACUGACUUUGGCAGCUUGGAUGCCAUCUUCUCCUAUAAAUGCCCCUUCUUCCAAAAAGCAGCCCUGCUGCCUGUUUACUCUCUUUCACUGUAUCAGAAUCUAUGAACCUGCAGGUUUUCUAAAAGAUCAUUGUGUUGCUGUUUAUCAAAAGCGGCAUGCAUUUCCAUCAGCUUUCCAACAGAAAAUCAGGCGAGAGGCUAUUCAACAUUCACUUAUUCACUGAAUAUUCAUUAAUUUUCCAGACAUUCUUCUAGGUACCAGGUGUCAGGCCUCUGAGCCCAGGCCAGGCCAUCACAUCCCCUGUGACUUGCACGUAUACAUCCAGAUGGCCUAAAGUAACUGAAGAUCCACAAAAGAAGUAAAAACAGCCUUAACUGAUGACAUUCCACCAUUGUGAUUUGUUCCUGCCCCACCCUAACUGAUCAAUGUACUUUGUAGUCUCCCCCACCCUUAAGAAGGUUCUUUGUAAUUCUCCCCACCCUUGAGAAUGUACUUUGUGAGAUCCACCCCUGCCCACCAGAGAACAACCCCCUUUGACUGUAAUUUUCCAUUACCUUCCCAAAUCCUAUAAAACGGCCCCACCCCUAUCUCCCUUCGCUGACUCUCUUUUCGGACUCAGCCCACCUGCACCCAGGUGAAAUAAACAGCUUUAUUGCU
Pongo pygmaeus (Bornean orangutan) is the source of this 2116-nucleotide long non-coding RNA. RefSeq lists it as uncharacterized. The record is from RefSeq and is a predicted model, not a curated record. The transcript has 5 exons. NCBI's taxonomy places the organism in Eukaryota, Metazoa, Chordata, Mammalia, Primates, Hominidae.